ACCGCUCUAACUAUGCUUCAUUUCGCCAAAAUGCCCACACGGUUCUGGGAUUAUGCCAUCCUAACAGCGGUCAAAUUGUACAAUCAAAAUCCAACAAGAAUUCUUUAAGGAAUCUCACCAAUGAAGGCUUUGUUCAACCGGAAUCUAGACUAUCACCAAAUGCUAUCCUUGUUUAAGACACCAUCGGCGGAAUAAAUUGGAGGAAAAAUCAAAGACUUGCGUUUUCAUCGGAUACCCACAACAGCAUGACGGAUAUAUGUGCUAUGACAUUAAAGAAAAGAAAAUUUACAUAUGAAAGAAUGUGAGAUUUAUCGAAAAUGAUUUUCAUUGAAUAGUAGGUUGUUUGAAGAAAAUACAAGUUGUGACAUCGGUGAAGAUAACGACGCGAUCACUUCAAACGAUCUUGAAAUUCUUGACAUUACUCCGACAACAGAGGCUUUGCCCAAUCAUCCAAGAAAUCUGCCACGCUCCGAGGUUUCACCAGAGCCGCAACCGAAUCACACGAUAUCGUCGAUUAGAGAACUCCAAAACCCAGAUGUGAUACUCAACAGUGGGGAAGAAACAAAUCGGAAUUUUCUCGACGAUCAUGAAUACCGGCCGACGUCAAACGACUCUGUCACGACCUCCGGUGAUAACGUUACAACGGAACCUAUCACAGAAAUGCAGACAUAGCACGAGAAGGUUGUUACACGAGCGUCACCUGGAAUCGUCAAGCCCAAUCCAAAGUACGGACUCACGUCUAUAUCGGAUCACAUCGUCAUCCUGAGAUCGACAAAAGUGGCAUUGACAAAAUCUGGAUAGAAAACGGCUAUGAAGGACGAAUUUCAUGCCUUGGUAAGAAAUAAAACGUGGAGACUAGUUCCACGCACCGACAGAGAUAGAGUAAUCAACACCAAAUGGGUAUUUAAAAUCAAAUACGCUGAAGAUGAGACAAUUCAAAGAUUGAAAGUAAGGUGGGUAGCAACGGCAUGCGACAAAUAGAACGGUGCGAUUAUCAUCAGACUUAUAGCCCGGUGGUGAAAUCAAAUUCGGUCAGAAUAGUGCUCACGAUUGCGAUUUCCAAAAAUUGGGUGUUGAAGCAGAUAGACGUAUCUAUUGCAUUCCUACACGAGAAUAUUGAAGAACGGAUCCUCGUGACACAACCGGUGGGAUUCGAAGAUACAAAAUAU
This 1169-nucleotide long non-coding RNA is filed under the name Zostera marina. RNAcentral's name for it is "long non-coding RNA (ZMAR_LNC001137)". Lineage: Eukaryota; Viridiplantae; Streptophyta; Magnoliopsida; Alismatales; Zosteraceae. The record is from RNAcentral.